Molecule: ribosomal RNA, 452 nt
Filed under: uncultured bacterium
Lineage: Bacteria
Description: partial 16S ribosomal RNA
Rfam family: Bacterial small subunit ribosomal RNA
Source: RNAcentral
GACGAACGCUGGCGGCAGGCUUAACACAUGCAAGUCGAGCGCCCUAGCAAUAGGGAGCGGCGCACGGGUGAGUAACGCGUGGGAACGUACCAUUUAGUGGGGGAUAACUUCGGGAAACUGAAGCUAAUACCGCAUACGCCCGAGAGGGGAAAGAUUUAUCGCUAAAUGAUCGGCCCGCGUGAGAUUUGGUAGUUGGUGGGGUAAUGGCCUACCAAGCCUACGAUCUCUAGCUGGUCUGAGAGGAUGAUCAGCCACACUGGAACUGAGACACGGUCCAGACUCCUACGGGAGGCAGCAGUGGGGAAUAUUGGACAAUGGGGGAAACCCUGAUCCAGCCAUGCCGCGUGAAUGAUGAAGGCUUUAGGGUUGUAAAGUUCUUUUGUUGGGGACAAAUAAAUUGAUGGUACCCAAAGAAAAAGCACCGGCUAACUCCGUGCCAGCCGCCGCAGUAA